Molecule: small nuclear RNA, 102 nt
Filed under: Dasypus novemcinctus (nine-banded armadillo)
Lineage: Eukaryota; Metazoa; Chordata; Mammalia; Cingulata; Dasypodidae
Source: RNAcentral
GUGCUCGCUUCAGCCGCACAUAUACUAAAAUCGGAAUGAUACAUAGAAGAUUAGCUCCUGUGCAAGGAUGACAUGCAAGUUCAUGAAGUGUUCCAUAUUUUU